UAAGCUUUAAGUUAUAUAAACUAAGAGCCUUCCAAGUUCUCCAAAAGAAAAUUUCUUAAGCUUAA
RNAcentral lists this transfer RNA (65 nucleotides) under Pseudoniphargus triasi. Its description in RNAcentral is "tRNA-Gly". Lineage: Eukaryota; Metazoa; Arthropoda; Malacostraca; Amphipoda; Allocrangonyctidae. The record is from RNAcentral.